This 18-nucleotide ribosomal RNA is filed under the name uncultured fungus. Its description in RNAcentral is "partial 28S ribosomal RNA". The record is from RNAcentral. Lineage: Eukaryota; Fungi.
UUUGACCUCAAAUCCAGG